UACCAGCACCCCGAGUGGUCGGGACGAUUAUUGGGCCUAAAGCAUCCGUAGCCGGUUCUACAAGUCUUCCGUUAAAUCCACCUGCUCAACAGUUGGGCUGCGGAGGAUACUAUAGAGCUAGGAGGCGGGAGAGGCAAGCGGUACUUAGUGGGUAGGGGUAAAAUCCGUUGAUCCAUUGAAGACCACCAGUGGCGAAGGCGGCUUGCCAGAACGCACUCGACGGUGAGGGAUGAAAGCUGGGGGAGCAAACGGG
Molecule: ribosomal RNA, 253 nt
Filed under: uncultured bacterium
Lineage: Bacteria
Description: partial 16S ribosomal RNA
Rfam family: Archaeal small subunit ribosomal RNA
Source: RNAcentral